This 250-nucleotide ribosomal RNA is filed under the name uncultured bacterium. RNAcentral's name for it is "partial 16S ribosomal RNA". It matches the Rfam family "Bacterial small subunit ribosomal RNA", at positions 524 to 770 of the family's 1533-position model. The record is from RNAcentral.
UACGUAGGGGGCAAGCGUUGUCCGGAUUUAUUGGGCGUAAAGAGCGUGUAGGCGGCCAGGUAGGUCUGCUGUGAAAACUCGAGGCUUAACCUCGAGAUGUCGGCGGAAACCAUCUGGCUAGAGUCCGGAAGAGGAGAAUGGAAUUCCCGGUGUAGCGGUGAAAUGCGCAGAUAUCGGGAGGAACACCAAUUGCGAAGGCAGCUCGCUGGGACGUAAACUGACGCUGGAGACGCGAAAGCGUUGGGGAGCA